CGGCUAACUCCGUGCCAGCAGCCGCGGUAUACGGGGGAUGCAAGCGUUAUCCGGAAUCAUUGGGCGUAAAGCGCCUGUAGGUUGUUUAAUAAGUCUGUUGUUAAAGACUAGGGCUUAACCCUAGAAAAGCAAUGGAAACUACUAGACUAGAGUAUGGCAGGGGUAGAGGGAAUUUCUAGUGUAGCGGUGAAAUGCGUAGAUAUUAGAAAGAACACCGGUGGCGAAAGCGCUCUACUGGACCAUUACUGACACUCAGAGGCGAAAGCUAGGGUAGCAAAAGGGAUUAGAUACCCCUGUAGUCCUAGCCGUAAACGAUGGAUACUAGAUGUUGUAUGUAUUUUACAGUAUCGUAGCUAACGCGUUAAGUAUCCCGCCUGGGGAGUACGCUCGCAAGGGUGAAACUCAAAGGAAUUGACGGGGGCCCGCACAAGCGGUGGAGCAUGUGGUUUAAUUCGAUGCAACGCGAAGAACCUUACCAGGGCUUGACAUACUGCGAAUCUCUCUGAAAAGAGAGAGUGCCUUCGGGAAUGCAGAUACAGGUGGUGCAUGGCUGUCGUCAGCUCGUGUCGUGAGAUGUUGGGUUAAGUCCCGCAACGAGCGCAACCCUUGUUUUUAGUUACCAACUUGUUGGGUUUUCUAGAAAGACUGCCGGUGACAAACCGGAGGAAGGUGAGGAUGACGUCAAGUCAGCAUGCCCCUUAUGUCCUGGGCUACACACGUGCUACAAUGGUUAAGACAAAGAGUCGCGAGCUUGUAAAAGUCAGCUAAUCUCAUAAACUUAGCCUAWGUUCAGAUUGUAGGCUGCAACUCCCUUNCC
Molecule: ribosomal RNA, 817 nt
Filed under: uncultured phototrophic eukaryote
Lineage: Eukaryota
Description: bacterial SSU rRNA
Rfam family: Bacterial small subunit ribosomal RNA
Source: RNAcentral